RNAcentral lists this ribosomal RNA (497 nucleotides) under uncultured bacterium. RNAcentral's name for it is "partial 16S ribosomal RNA". It matches the Rfam family "Bacterial small subunit ribosomal RNA", at positions 28 to 507 of the family's 1533-position model. The record is from RNAcentral.
GAUGAACGCUGGCGGCGUGCCUAAUACAUGCAAGUCGAGCGAACAGAUGAGGAGCUUGCUCCUCUGACGUUAGCGGCGGACGGGUGAGUAACACGUGGAUAACCUACCUAUAAGACUGGGAUAACUUCGGGAAACCGGAGCUAAUACCGGAUAAUAUAUUGAACCGCAUGGUUCAAUAGUGAAAGACGGUUUUGCUGUCCCUUAUAGAUGGAUCCGCGCCGCAUUAGCUAGUUGUUAAGGUAACGGCUUACCAAGGCAACGAUGCGUAGCCGACCUGAGAGGGUGAUCGGCCACACUGGAACUGAGACACGGUCCAGACUCCUACGGGAGGCAGCAGUAGGGAAUCUUCCGCAAUGGGCGAAAGCCUGACGGAGCAACGCCGCGUGAGUGAUGAAGGUCUUCGGAUCGUAAAACUCUGUUAUUAGGGAAGAACAAAUGUGUAAGUAACUAUGCACGUCUUGACGGUACCUAAUCAGAAAGCCACGGCUAACUACGUG